CCUACGGGGCGCAGCAGUGGGGAAUAUUGGACAAUGGGCGAAAGCCUGAUCCAGCCAUGCCGCGUGUGUGAAGAAGGCCUUCGGGUUGUAAAGCACUUUCAGUGGGGAAGAAAGCCUUGGGGCUAAUACCCUCGAGGAAGGACAUAACCCACAGAAGAAGCACCGGCUAACUCCGUGCCAGCAGCCGCGGUAAUACGGAGGGUGCGAGCGUUAAUCGGAAUUACUGGGCGUAAAGCGCGCGUAGGCGGUCUGAUAAGCCGGUUGUGAAAGCCCCGGGCUCAACCUGGGAACGGCAUCCGGAACUGUCAGGCUAGAGUGCAGGAGAGGAAGGUAGAAUUCCCGGUGUAGCGGUGAAAUGCGUAGAGAUCGGGAGGAAUACCAGUGGCGAAGGCGGCCUUCUGGACUGACACUGACGCUGAGGUGCGAAAGCGUGGGUAGCAAACAGGAUUAGAUACCCGAGUAGUC
This 465-nucleotide ribosomal RNA is filed under the name Vreelandella stevensii. RNAcentral describes it as "partial 16S ribosomal RNA". It matches the Rfam family "Bacterial small subunit ribosomal RNA", at positions 338 to 795 of the family's 1533-position model. The record is from RNAcentral. Lineage: Bacteria; Pseudomonadati; Pseudomonadota; Gammaproteobacteria; Oceanospirillales; Halomonadaceae.